This is a long non-coding RNA of Calidris pugnax (ruff), 231 nucleotides long. RefSeq lists it as uncharacterized. Lineage: Eukaryota; Metazoa; Chordata; Aves; Charadriiformes; Scolopacidae. The record is from RefSeq and is a predicted model, not a curated record. The transcript has 3 exons.
ACGCUCUCCUGGAUCUUCGUUGGAGGAACCCUCUUCCAUGCUGUCUGGCUUGGGCUGGUGCCUAUCAUAAGAGGUGGGACCCUUCUAAGCUUUUCCAUUUCUGACCCUUCAAUGGGACAAAUAAUGAAGUUACCUGACCUUGGUCGUUACAAUAGAAAUGAAGGAAGCUGGGUGUGAUAUGCUGUGCAGAAGCCCAGGGACAUGAAAAUGCGGCCAAACCAGUCUGCUAAA